RNAcentral lists this ribosomal RNA (253 nucleotides) under uncultured bacterium. Its description in RNAcentral is "partial 16S ribosomal RNA". It matches the Rfam family "Bacterial small subunit ribosomal RNA", at positions 524 to 776 of the family's 1533-position model. The record is from RNAcentral.
UACGUAGGGGGCAAGCGUUAUCCGGAUUUAUUGGGCGUAAAGAGCUCGUAGGCGGCCGUUCGCGUCGGAUGUGAAAGCUCAGGGCUCAACUCUGAGACGCCAUUCGAUACGGGACGGCUAGAGGUAGGUAGGGGAAAGUGGAAUUCCCGGUGUAGCGGUGAAAUGCGCAGAUAUCGGGAGGAACACCGGUGGCGAAGGCGGGUCUCUGGGCCGAUACUGACGCUGAGGAGCGAAAGCGUGGGGAGCGAACAGG